AUUGGGUUUGUAUAGAACAUUAUAUGCGAUGCUGUGGUAGCGCCGGUAAGUCUGUGUAUCGCAGCAGUAGCUUAAGGCUUCAUCAUAAAAAUCCACGUGUACGCACACAUCAUCAUAUAUCUGCGGCACCACGGCAAUGCUGCCGAAGCUCGAAGAACCUAUAGGUCUUGGCCUUGAGCCUUUGGGUAGGGAACCAUAAAAAUGGUAGGAUUUAAUUCCAGUGGCUCAAAAGGCUUAGUUCACAUUGACAUUAAAAAACCUUCUGUCAGUUCGUGACAGUUCACGGAAAAUCGGGGAACUAAAAAUGGUUCAAAAUCAAAAUAUUCGCUGGAAAAUUAAAAUUUAUCAUAAUAAACAUUCACCCGGGUUGAAUGGAACUUAUUUUUUGGAUAUACAUUUAUUUCUAUAAUAAACUGUGGGAACGGUGCAGACAUAAUUACGGGCGGGCCUUGCAAUCUUUUGUUGUAAAGCAGUUGAUGGUGGCUCCGGAUUGGUGGCGGAGACUCCGGGCGGCGGCAGCGUGGCACAGCGCGCACCGGAGAUGUCUGCUCCGAGCUCGUUUGGGAGCUGUAUAGCUCCUGGCUACUGUCCGAACACCUGGAAGAGGUACUCAGCACUUGCAGUCACAACGAGGUUGCUGAUAACUUGAGUGGUCGUGGCCAGGCACGAGUUGCUGUCAACAGUCAAUACUUACCGGAACCAAUAUGAAGUCACUGCGGAACCAAUGUGCCGUGCACAGGAAACGUAAACCCGAGGCGGACGACGACAUUUAUGGAUCGUUCACUAAUUAUAGUAAAAUAAAUAUUUGUACAUA
Molecule: long non-coding RNA, 814 nt
Organism: Spodoptera frugiperda (fall armyworm)
Lineage: Eukaryota; Metazoa; Arthropoda; Insecta; Lepidoptera; Noctuidae
Exons: 5
Source: RefSeq, a predicted model, not a curated record